GGCGGCUGCUCUGUUUCGAUCGCACCACAGAAACAGCGACGUCGACAGAUCGCACGGCCGAAGCUGCAACCAAGGGAAGGCAGCGAUGGCGGUGCGGCUAGGGCAGCGUCGCCGACGGUAGAAGCGGCGAUGGGUGGUCCGCUGGCUGGGAAACGGCGACCGCGGCCCUUCUCGCUCGAGCGGGAUGCGGGCAGCGAGGUGGCGAGGUGAGAAGGUUGCUGGCCGGGAGGCAGCGGCGGCGGUGGAGAAGGAGUUGCCCUACAGCGGCGGUAGAGAAGAGGAGCAGGGCUGCGGCAGAGUGGGACGCUGGCAGCGUCGUCUCCUGGCAGCGGUGGUGGACUCUGGCCGGAAGUGGGGCAGAGUCGGUUGCUGGCCGGAGAGCAGCGACGGGCGGCGGGUGGGUUGGCCGGAAGCAGGGGAAGCAGGGGCGUGUGGCUGCGGUUGCUGCUUCUUCUUCUCUCUCUCUUUCUUUCUUUCUUUCUUUCUUUCUUUCGUUUUUCUUUUUUUUUUUUGAUAGCUUCGUUGCAGCGAGAACGCCAAGGAUCGCUGCUCUGAUACCAAAUGAUAAGACCCUAAAGUCUUAUCGUAGGCUCUGAUACCAAAUGAUAAGA
This 611-nucleotide long non-coding RNA is filed under the name Musa acuminata (dwarf banana). RNAcentral's name for it is "long non-coding RNA (MACU_LNC007153)". The record is from RNAcentral. Lineage: Eukaryota; Viridiplantae; Streptophyta; Magnoliopsida; Zingiberales; Musaceae.